CGAAGGGGGCUAGCGUUGCUCGGAAUUACUGGGCGUAAAGGGAGCGUAGGCGGAUAGUUUAGUCAGAGGUGAAAGCCCAGGGCUCAACCCUGGAAUUGCCUUUGAUACUGGCUAUCUUGAGUGUGGGAGAGGUUAGCGGAACUCCGAGUGUAGAGGUGAAAUUCGUAGAUAUUCGGAAGAACACCAGUGGCGAAGGCGGCUAACUGGCCCAUUACUGACGCUGAGGCUCGAAAGCGUGGGGAGCAAACAGGAUUAGAUACCCUGGUAGUCCACGCUGUAAACGAUGAGUGCUAGUUGUCGGUGCGCAUGCGCAUCGGUGACGCAGCUAACGCAUUAAGCACUCCGCCUGGGGAGUACGGUCGCAAGAUUAA
This 371-nucleotide ribosomal RNA is filed under the name uncultured organism. RNAcentral's name for it is "bacterial SSU rRNA". It matches the Rfam family "Bacterial small subunit ribosomal RNA", at positions 526 to 897 of the family's 1533-position model. The record is from RNAcentral.